Esox lucius (northern pike) is the source of this 846-nucleotide long non-coding RNA. RefSeq lists it as uncharacterized. The record is from RefSeq and is a predicted model, not a curated record. The transcript has 3 exons. Lineage: Eukaryota; Metazoa; Chordata; Actinopteri; Esociformes; Esocidae.
AGUUAUACAGUACGUUUAAAAUGGCUAACAUGAAUAUAUAGAUAAUUGCAUAUUAGAGUACAUAGAAACUGGAUAUAGUGAUUGUUUAUUUUAUUUAUUAAUCAAGUCUUUCCUCCUCAACUGAUAUUUGGAAAUUACAGAAAGAGGUUGACAGUGUUUUCUAUAGAACAACUGCUUCAACUGUCCAAAAUGCAGGCACAGAAAGUAACAGCAUUCUUUGUCAUUAUGGCAACAGUGCAUGCAGCAGCAACAAUUCUGGCAACUGCACAAACCACAGAUGGGUUUACAACCAAGGAUGCGACAACAUCCACAGAAGUUCCCACAACAACAACCACACCUACUUCAACAACAACCAAAGCUGCUUCCAUAACAACAACAGAGGCUGCCUCAACUAAAAUCAAUCAAAUAAUCAAAAACUCAAAUGUAUUUAUGAAGCCCUUUUUACAAUGGCAUUUGUCAAAACGUGCUUUUAAAAAAGACCCAGGCUUAAGACGGAAAACUCAAACAGUAGUGUUGGGAAGUACAGCUGGUCCCACAAAAACCACACCUCCUCCCACAACAAAAACAGAGGCUCCCACAACAACCACAGAGGCUUCCAAAACAACCAUAGAGGCCACAACAACACUAAAAGCUGCAACCACAACAACCACAGCUACUCCCACAACAAAAACAGAGGCUCCCACAACAACCUUGUCUGGUGCCACAACAACCUUGUCUGGAACCACAACAAACUUGUUUGGUGCCACAACAACAACAGAGGCUGUCAAACCUGCUACAGCUCCUCCCACAAGAACCACAGCUCCUGCCACAACAACCACAGCUCCUCCCACAACAAACACAGCUCCU